AUUGAACGCUGGCGGCAGGCCUAACACAUGCAAGUCGAGCGGAUGAAGGGAGCUUGCUCCUGGAUUCAGCGGCGGACGGGUGAGUAAUGCCUAGGAAUCUGCCUGGUAGUGGGGGAUAACGUCCGGAAACGGGCGCUAAUACCGCAUACGUCCUGAGGGAGAAAGUGGGGGAUCUUCGGACCUCACGCUAUCAGAUGAGCCUAGGUCGGAUUAGCUAGUUGGUGGGGUAAAGGCCUACCAAGGCGACGAUCCGUAACUGGUCUGAGAGGAUGAUCAGUCACACUGGAACUGAGACACGGUCCAGACUCCUACGGGAGGCAGCAGUGGGGAAUAUUGGACAAAGGGCGAAAGACUGAUCCAGCCAUGCCGCGUGUGUGAAGAAGGUCUUCGGAUUGUAAAGCACUUUAAGUUGGGAGGAAGGGCAGUAAGUUAAUACCUUGCUGUUUUGACGUUACCAACAGAAUAAGCACCGGCUAACUUCGUG
RNAcentral lists this ribosomal RNA (484 nucleotides) under uncultured bacterium. RNAcentral's name for it is "partial 16S ribosomal RNA". It matches the Rfam family "Bacterial small subunit ribosomal RNA", at positions 30 to 507 of the family's 1533-position model. The record is from RNAcentral.